RNAcentral lists this unclassified non-coding RNA (216 nucleotides) under Ascomycota sp. RNAcentral's name for it is "partial contains small subunit ribosomal RNA, internal transcribed spacer 1, and 5.8S ribosomal RNA". The stretch from base 1 to 47 matches the Rfam family "Eukaryotic small subunit ribosomal RNA", at positions 1785 to 1831 of the family's 1831-position model. Lineage: Eukaryota; Fungi; Ascomycota. The record is from RNAcentral.
AAAGUUGUAACAAGGUUUCUGUAGGUGAACCUGCGGAAGGAUUAUUACCUAGAGUUUGUGGGCUUUGCCCGCUACCUCUUACCUAUGUCUUUUGAGUACUUACGUUUCCUUGGCGGGUUCGCCCGCCGACUGGACAAAAUUAAACCCUUUGUAAUUGAAAUCAGCGUCUGAAAAACAUAAUAGUUACAACUUUUAACAACGGAUCCCUUGGUUCUG